GGCGACAAUACUUCAGAGAAUCAUUUCUAUAGUAGUCGACCUUCCUCUUGGCCCCCCAAAGGAGCUACAGACUCCGCCCUGGUUGAUGAAUGAUGUCCUUACGUCCUUAGAGUGAAUAACUCUGGUGACUUCCGCUCUGUCUGCAAAGACGGCGAUGGCUUCGGCUGUGCAGCUGGCUGUAUAGGAAGUGGUGAUAACCUCGUCCCUGCUGCAUGCGCAUCGGUAGGGUGGGAUGUAAUGGACGUCUGACAGGU
This 254-nucleotide small nucleolar RNA is filed under the name Ceratocystis platani. RNAcentral's name for it is "Fungal small nucleolar RNA U3". It matches the Rfam family "Fungal small nucleolar RNA U3". Rfam says of the family: Small nucleolar RNAs (snoRNAs) are involved in the processing and modification of rRNA in the nucleolus. There are two main classes of snoRNAs: the box C/D class, and the box H/ACA class. U3 snoRNA is a member of the box C/D class. Lineage: Eukaryota; Fungi; Ascomycota; Sordariomycetes; Microascales; Ceratocystidaceae. The record is from Rfam by way of RNAcentral.